UACAGAGGGUGCGAGCGUUAAUCGGAAUUACUGGGCGUAAAGGGCGCGUAGGCGGUAUAGUAAGUGAGAUGUGAAAUCCCUGGGCUUAACCUAGGAAUGGCAUCUGAGACUGCUAAGCUAGAGUGCGGUAGAGGAUAGUGGAAUUUCCGGUGUAGCGGUGAAAUGCGUAGAUAUCGGAAGGAACACCAGUGGCGAAGGCGGCUAUCUGGACUGACACUGACGCUGAGGCGCGAGAGCGUGGGGAGCAAACAGG
This 253-nucleotide ribosomal RNA is filed under the name uncultured bacterium. Its description in RNAcentral is "partial 16S ribosomal RNA". It matches the Rfam family "Bacterial small subunit ribosomal RNA", at positions 524 to 776 of the family's 1533-position model. The record is from RNAcentral.